UCCAACGACCAAGCUCCCUUCUUUCCCUCAUUUCGGUUUCAAAAACCUGAAUUAGGGCUUUUCUUCCGAUUUUCUUCAUCAAUUAUCCUCCCGUUAUUCUUGAGUCAUAUAAAACAUUAACAAAAAAUAAUAAUUUCUAUAUUCAAUCCCUUAAAUUCAUACCCGACAAUCAAUUUUAUGCGUUACAUUCAUAUAACAAACCCUUGGAAUGUUCGGCUACAUACGUCUCAAGAGAGGUCAUCAUCUUCCCAGAUUUUUGUUAGUCUAUUUGAGAAAAGAGUUGCCAUCUAUUUCAGGUAAGUGGGUCGUGGGAAGUUCGUAUUUCAGAGCUUCUACUGAUAUUGUUGUGGCAAUCAAAAAGAGGCAAACACUAUCAUUAUCGCUAUUUACUUUCAAAGGACUAUGGCUUUUUUAAUGGAUGUAAAAAUCAAAGUUAUAAUUUAAGAACCCCUAGAAUGGAUGAAUUUGUGACAAGCUUCCUGGUAAAAAGAUACUGAAGAUUCGAUGAACAUUAUCACAUUAUUGAUGAGUUUCACAGUGAAAACCAUCUAAACUUCCUCAGUACUUCCUAAGUAUCCCUCAUAUCGUCUCCUGCAAGGUUGAUUCAGGGUUUGAGGUCCUAUUGCGCCUAUAAGAUCAUUGGGUCCGUCCAGGUCACAAGAGUUUGAUUGAAGAUUUUAGUUCUCUUGCGUCAAGGUAAGUUUAUCUAUUUGUUGCGGUGAUUUGUUCUUCGAUUUAAUUUUCAAUGUGAACAGAUUUUGGGAACUAAAUAUGUUCGAUGUUGAGAGUUAUUUCAUGUAUAAGCAUGUCAAAAGUGUUUUUUGGGAAAAGUCACAAGCUGCUCGCAGAUAUCACCUUUACAUUCUAAUUAGGAUAAUCUCCCACUAUUACGAGUUCCUUAUAUGCAUUCUUGGUAUUGGAUACUCACAAAUACAGAUCAGGAUAUAACAAAAUCUCCCAUUUACCA
Papaver somniferum (opium poppy) is the source of this 967-nucleotide long non-coding RNA. RefSeq lists it as uncharacterized. The record is from RefSeq and is a predicted model, not a curated record. The transcript has 5 exons. Lineage: Eukaryota; Viridiplantae; Streptophyta; Magnoliopsida; Ranunculales; Papaveraceae.